This 199-nucleotide ribosomal RNA is filed under the name Vibrio parahaemolyticus. RNAcentral describes it as "partial 23S ribosomal RNA". It matches the Rfam family "Bacterial large subunit ribosomal RNA", at positions 1657 to 1839 of the family's 2925-position model. Lineage: Bacteria; Pseudomonadati; Pseudomonadota; Gammaproteobacteria; Vibrionales; Vibrionaceae. The record is from RNAcentral.
ACACAGGUGGUCGGGUAGAGAAUACCAAGGCGCUUGAGAGAACUCGGGUGAAGGAACUAGGCAAAAUGGUACCGUAACUUCGGGAGAAGGUACGCUCUUGAUGGUGAAGUCCCUCGCGGAUGGAGCUAUUGAGAGUCGCAGAUACCAGGUGGCUGCAACUGUUUAUUAAAAACACAGCACUGUGCAAAAAUCGAAAGAU